GACGAACGCUGGCGGCGUGCUUAACACAUGCAAGUCGAACGGAAAGGCCUGCUUUCCCUUGUGGAUUGCGGGUACUCGAGUGGCGAACGGGUGAGUAACACGUGAGUGAUCUGCCCCCAACUUGGGUAUAAGCCUGGGAAACUGGGUCUAAUUCCCGAUAGGACUGCAGGGUGGUGCCUGUGGUGGAAAACGAUUUUCUAGUGGUUGGGGAUGAGCUCGCGGCCUAUCAGCUUGUUGGUGGGGUAAUGGCCUACCAAGGCGGCGACGGGUAGCCGGCCUGAGAGGGUGGACGGCCACAUUGGGACUGAGAUACGGCCCAGACGCCUACGGGAGGCAGCAGUGGGGAAUAUUAGACAAUGGGCGGAAGCCUGAUGCAGCGACGCCGCGUGGGGGAUGACGGCCUUCGGGUUGUAAACUCCUUUCGACCGCGAGGAAGCCACCUGGUUGGAAGGGUGGUGACGGUAGUGGUAGAAGAAGCACCGGCUAACUACGUG
This 494-nucleotide ribosomal RNA is filed under the name uncultured bacterium. Its description in RNAcentral is "partial 16S ribosomal RNA". It matches the Rfam family "Bacterial small subunit ribosomal RNA", at positions 28 to 507 of the family's 1533-position model. The record is from RNAcentral.